This 482-nucleotide ribosomal RNA is filed under the name uncultured bacterium. RNAcentral's name for it is "partial 16S ribosomal RNA". It matches the Rfam family "Bacterial small subunit ribosomal RNA", at positions 30 to 507 of the family's 1533-position model. The record is from RNAcentral.
AUUGAACGCUGGCGGCAUGCUUUACACAUGCAAGUCGAACGGUAACAGGCCGCAAGGUGCUGACGAGUGGCGAACGGGUGAGUAAUGCAUCGGAACGUGCCCAGUCGUGGGGGAUAACUACUCGAAAGAGUAGCUAAUACCGCAUACGAUCUAUGGAUGAAAGCGGGGGACCGUAAGGCCUCGCGCGAUUGGAGCGGCCGAUGUCAGAUUAGGUAGUUGGUGGGGUAAAGGCUCACCAAGCCAACGAUCUGUAGCUGGUCUGAGAGGACGACCAGCCACACUGGGACUGAGACACGGCCCAGACUCCUACGGGAGGCAGCAGUGGGGAAUUUUGGACAAUGGGCGCAAGCCUGAUCCAGCAAUGCCACGUGGAGGAAGAAGGCCUUCGGGUUGUAAACUGCUUUUGUACGGAACGAAACGGCUCUGGUUAAUACCCGGGGCUAAUGACGGUACCGUAAGAAUAAGCACCGGCUAACUACGUG